CCUACGGGUGGCAGCAGUGAGGAAUAUUGGUCAAUGGGCGCGAGCCUGAACCAGCCAAGUAGCGUGAAGGAUGACUGCCCUACGGGUUGUAAACUUCUUUUAUAAAGGAAUAAAGUGAGGCACGGUUGCCUUUUUUAAUGUACUUUAUGAAUAACGAUCGGCUAACUCCGUGCCAGCAGCCGCAGUAAUACGGAGGAUCCGAGCGUUAUCCUGAUUUAUUGGGUUUAAAGGGAGCGUAGAUGGGUUGUUAAGUCAGUUGUGAAAGUUUGCGGCUCAACAGUAAAAUUGCAAUUGAUACUGGUAGCCUUGAGUACAGUUGAGGUAGGCGGAAUGCGUGGUGUAGCGGUGAAAUGCUUAGAUAGCACGAAGAACUCCGAUUGCGAAGGCAGCUUACUAAACUGCCACUGACAUUGAUGCUCGAAAGUGUGGGUAUCAAACAGGAUUAGAUACCCGGGUAGUC
RNAcentral lists this ribosomal RNA (460 nucleotides) under uncultured bacterium. RNAcentral describes it as "partial 16S ribosomal RNA". It matches the Rfam family "Bacterial small subunit ribosomal RNA", at positions 338 to 795 of the family's 1533-position model. The record is from RNAcentral.